This is a small nuclear RNA of Cebus imitator (Panamanian white-faced capuchin), 136 nucleotides long. Its record names the gene U4. It matches the Rfam family "U4 spliceosomal RNA". Rfam says of the family: U4 small nuclear RNA (U4 snRNA) is a component of the major U2-dependent spliceosome. The record is from Ensembl. NCBI's taxonomy places the organism in Eukaryota, Metazoa, Chordata, Mammalia, Primates, Cebidae.
AGCUUUGCGCAGUGGCAGUAUCGUAGCCAAUGAGGUUUAUCCAAGGCGUGAUUAUUGCUAAAACUUUUCCCAAUACCCCGCCGUAACGACUUGCAAUACAGUCUGCACUGGCAAUUUUUUUUUUUUUUUUUUGAGA